GAUACGACUUUGCAUGUGCUCGUCAUUCGCACGUACAUGCCAUCAAGAUCAUCCCGAAAUAUCAUGCAUGAAGUCACGUUUGCAUGCAAGGGCAAUAUCACGUACGAAGUCACGUUAGCAUGCAAGGCAAUAUCAUGCAUGAAGUCACGUAUCCAUGCAAGCAUGCAAGGGCCACUUAGCCAAGUUCUUGUUCCAUUAUGGCCAAGCAAUUAGGAGGGAUAAUAACCACAUGCAGGAAUGUGUC
Molecule: long non-coding RNA, 244 nt
Filed under: Citrus sinensis (sweet orange)
Lineage: Eukaryota; Viridiplantae; Streptophyta; Magnoliopsida; Sapindales; Rutaceae
Description: long non-coding RNA (CSIN_LNC001483)
Source: RNAcentral